UGGGGAAUUUUGGACAAUGGGCGAAAGCCUGAUCCAGCAAUGCCGCGUGUGUGAAGAAGGCCUUCGGGUUGUAAAGCACUUUUGUCCGGAAAGAAAUCCUUGGCUCUAAUACAGUCGGGGGAUGACGGUACCGGAAGAAUAAGCACCGGCUAACUACGUGCCAGCAGCCGCGGUAAUACGUAGGGUGCAAGCGUUAAUCGGAAUUACUGGGCGUAAAGCGUGCGCAGGCGGUUUGCCAAGACCGAUGUGAAAUCCCCGGGCUCAACCUGGGAACUGCAUUGGUGACUGGCAGGCUAGAGUAUGGCAGAGGGGGGUAGAAUUCCACGUGUAGCAGUGAAAUGCGUAGAGAUGUGGAGGAAUACCGAUGGCGAAGGCAGCCCCCUGGGCCAAUACUGACGCUCAUGCACGAAAGCGUGGGGAGCAAACAGGAUUAGAUACCCUGGUAGUCCACGCCCUAAACGAUGUCAACUAGUUGUGGGGAUUCAUUUCCUAGUAACGUAGCUAACGCGUGAAGUUGACCGCCUGGGGAGUACGGUCGCAAGAUUAAAACUUAAAUGAAUUGACGGGGUCAUAGCUGUUUCCU
This 583-nucleotide ribosomal RNA is filed under the name uncultured bacterium. RNAcentral describes it as "partial 16S ribosomal RNA". It matches the Rfam family "Bacterial small subunit ribosomal RNA", at positions 355 to 1375 of the family's 1533-position model. The record is from RNAcentral.